GACGAACGCUGGCGGCGUGCUUAACACAUGCAAGUCGAACGGUGAAGGGGCCUGCUUUUGUGGGCCCUGGAUGAGUGGCGAACGGGUGAGUAACACGUGAGUAACCUGCCCCCUUCUUCUGGAUAACCGCAUGAAAGUGUGGCUAAUACGGGAUAUUCUGGGUCUGUCGCAUGAUGGGUCUGGGAAAGAUUGCGCCUUUGGGUGUUUUUGGUGGGGGAUGGGCUCGCGGCCUAUCAGCUUGUUGGUGGGGUGAUGGCCUACCAAGGCGGUGACGGGUAGCCGGCCUGAGAGGGUGGACGGUCACACUGGGACUGAGACACGGCCCAGACUCCUACGGGAGGCAGCAGUGGGGAAUAUUGCACAAUGGGCGCAAGCCUGAUGCAGCGACGCCGCGUGAGGGAUGGAGGCCUUCGGGUUGUAAACCUCUUUCGCCAGUGAAGCAGGCCUGCUCCUUGUGGGUGGGUUGACGGUAGCUGGAUAAGAAGCGCCGGCUAACUACGUG
Molecule: ribosomal RNA, 502 nt
Filed under: uncultured bacterium
Lineage: Bacteria
Description: partial 16S ribosomal RNA
Rfam family: Bacterial small subunit ribosomal RNA
Source: RNAcentral